RNAcentral lists this ribosomal RNA (508 nucleotides) under uncultured bacterium. RNAcentral describes it as "partial 16S ribosomal RNA". It matches the Rfam family "Bacterial small subunit ribosomal RNA", at positions 28 to 507 of the family's 1533-position model. The record is from RNAcentral.
GACGAACGCUGGCGGCGUGCCUAAUACAUGCAAGUCGAACGCUUCUUUCCUCCCGAGUGCUUGCACUCAAUUGGAAAGAGGAGUGGCGGACGGGUGAGUAACACGUGGGUAACCUACCCAUCAGAGGGGGAUGACACUUGGAAACAGGUGCUAAUACCGCAUAACAGUUUAUGCCGCAUGGCAUAAGAGUGAAAGGCGCUUUCGGGUGUCGCUGAUGGAUGGACCCGCGGUGCAUUAGCUAGUUGGUGAGGUAACGGCUCACCAAGGCGACGAUGCAUAGCCGACCUGAGAGGGUGAUCGGCCACACUGGGACUGAGACACGGCCCAGACUCCUACGGGAGGCAGCAGUAGGGAAUCUUCGGCAAUGGACGAAAGUCUGACCGAGCAACGCCGCGUGAGUGAAGAAGGUUUUCGGAUCGUAAAACUCUGUUGUUAGAGAAGAACAAGGACGUUAGUAACUGAACGUCCCCUGACGGUAUCUAAACAGAAAGCCACAGCUAACUACGUG